Long non-coding RNA from Lagopus leucura (white-tailed ptarmigan), 2059 nucleotides. RefSeq lists it as uncharacterized. NCBI's taxonomy places the organism in Eukaryota, Metazoa, Chordata, Aves, Galliformes, Phasianidae. The transcript has 3 exons. The record is from RefSeq and is a predicted model, not a curated record.
CAGCCCCCGCCGAGCUCUCGGUGGGGCUGAACUUCUGCGCGGAUUCAGCGCAGCAGUCAGAGACGCGCCCCGGCGCUGAGGCCCCGCAGUGGAGAGGAGCGGAGCGCUGCGGGACGUGGAUGGACGGGCGGCCGCUCGCGGGGACAUCGUGGGCGUGCGGGCUCUGCUGGAGGCGGUGAGCACCCGACCGGGUCCAAAUCCUUCGGGAUAACCCCGCUGCAGAUGGGGGCUGCCCAGAGACGCGGCGGCGGUGGGCCGGCAGGAGAGACUUGAGGGCGCCGCGAUUUCUCUCAUUACUAUUUUCUGUGCUAUUAUUACCGGGAUUGCCUCGAGGUUAUGCCUGAAUUCAAGCGUGCGGUUUUCACAGCCACCUCCUUCGCUCGUAGGCACAGCUGGGGUUUAGGGGGCACUGCUGGCAUCAAACGAGUUGUACCACACGGUACUGAAAAUGAGGAGUGGGCUCCUAAAACCCACCUCCGCAGUGUUUGGGGAGUUGGCAUCACUUCGAUGCUUCGAUGCUUUCAAGAACAUCUUUUUCUUUCCCAAAAGAGGUCAGAGUUGUGCCUGUCUGCCACAAAAGGGAGUAAAGGAAAUUCUGUCUGAAAACGAGGAAAAACGUCUUUAUUAUGUGGUUGGCAGAGCACCAGAGCAGGCUGAGCGGAGAGGAUCUUCGAUCUCCUCCUCUGGAGACAAUAGAAGCCCUUCUGGAUGCUUUUCUGUGCAACCCAGUGUAGGGAAUAGCAGGGUUUGGAGAAGCCGGUCUGCAAAGGUGAUUUGCAACCCCUCCGACUCUGCGACACCGUGAUUCUUCAGUAAUAUUUUCCCUAGAAAAAACAGCACAAGAGAUCACGCAGAAAUCGUCCCAGAGCCGAUUUUUUUUCCUUGCAACAAGACACUGCCAGUAGACUGUCUUAUUAGCACUUCUGCUGUUCAGUAUUUAUCUGCAAAAGCGACGUUCAUCCUUAGGAGCUGCGAGCAUCGCUGCGCAAUGGACUUCCUUUCUGAGGAUUUCGAGGCAGCGCUUACCGAGAGUGAGACAUCAUAGAUCUGUUUUCCUCAGAGCAGCCUUGCUGCCGGGCUGACAUGUGGGAUCUGUGUUUCUGAAAAACUUAAUCUGAACGGGAACUUGUUAGUGACGAGAACUGCAAGCGUUUCAGCUCUUGUGUUAUGAAUAAAACAAAAUAUCUGUGUGAGCAUCACACCAGUUUGAGAAGACAAUAAUCACGAUCGGACCUUGCCAGGAGUAUUUGCCGUUGCAGAGCGACUUCAGCAGCAGGGAGGUUUUGUGCAUUACUCAGCAGCUCUCCUGGCCCGUUCGAAAAGGAGCAGACGCUGAGCUACGGCUGAGAGAGCAAAAGAGCUCAGUGCGAAGGGUGGGAGGGAAAGGAGCGCCCGAUGCCAGGGAGAUCUGCUCAGCGCUGCGCGUUCCGACCGCGCGGCGUGGGCUGCAGAACCGCCUUCCUCGUUGGUAAAUGUGUGUUAUUCUGACGUGUGUGUGUGUGUGCAAACGGUGUGCAUGCACACACAUACGUAUACAGCUUUUAUACGUGGUAUUUUAUGUAUACGCUGUUGUGUUACAUUGUUAUGCUGUGUUGUUGAACGUUUUAGACUCAGGCCAUUCUGUGGUUCUAUCGUAGAAUCACAGAAUCAUAGAAUGUAGGUGGAAAAGGACCGCAAUAAUCAUCUAGUUUCAACUCCCCUGCCAUGUGCAGAGUCGCCAACCAGCAGACCAGGCUGCCCAGAGCCACAUCCAGCCUGUGAGUGAAAAACUUUAUAGCUAACCUAACCUUCUAAUGUCUUAGUUUAAAACCAUUCCCCCUUGACUAUGUCCUAAUAUUCUAUGAUUCAUUACGUUCGAUCAUAUUCUAUUGUACUGCUGAUACAUGAGUAUCACGUACCAUAAUUUAUGCUACAUACUAAGUAACACGUAAUAUAUGGUUUGAUUAUACGAUAUAAGAUCAAAUUUAUUACAGUGUGCAUCAGCGCCUACUGAGAUACUGCAACACCCAGUCGGCAAACCGCGCACAGCCCAUCGCUCGUUGAACGCGGUGUGUGCGGG